RNAcentral lists this ribosomal RNA (485 nucleotides) under uncultured bacterium. Its description in RNAcentral is "bacterial SSU rRNA". It matches the Rfam family "Bacterial small subunit ribosomal RNA", at positions 28 to 507 of the family's 1533-position model. The record is from RNAcentral.
GAUGAACGCUAGCGGCAGGCUUAAUACAUGCAAGUCGUACGGGAUCCGAGGUAGCAAUACUUUGGUGGCGACCGGCGCACGGGUGAGUAACACGUAUGCAACCUACCCUGUACAGGGGGAUAACCCGGAGAAAUUCGGACUAAUAUCCCAUACAAUUAUUGGAGGGCAUCCUUUGAUAAUUAAAGCUCAGGCGGUAUAGGAUGGGCAUGCGGAACAUUAGCUAGUUGGUAGGGUAACGGCCUACCAAGGCUACGAUGUUUAGGGGACCUGAGAGGGUUAUCCCCCACACUGGUACUGAGACACGGACCAGACUCCUACGGGAGGCAGCAGUGAGGAAUAUUGGUCAAUGGGCGCAAGCCUGAACCAGCCAUCCCGCGUGAAGGAAGAAGGCCCUAUGGGUUGUAAACUUCUUUUCCAGGGGGUGAAUAAUUCCGAUGUAUCGGGAGAUGACGGUACCCUGGGAAUAAGCAUCGGCUAACUCCGUG